Molecule: ribosomal RNA, 424 nt
Filed under: uncultured Barnesiella sp.
Lineage: Bacteria; Pseudomonadati; Bacteroidota; Bacteroidia; Bacteroidales; Barnesiellaceae
Description: bacterial SSU rRNA
Rfam family: Bacterial small subunit ribosomal RNA
Source: RNAcentral
UGGGGAAUAUUGGGCAAUGGACGGAAGUCUGACCCAGCGACGCCGCGUGAGGGAAGAAGGUCUUCGGAUUGUAAACCUUAAACAACAGGGACGAAAGAAAUGACGGUACCUGUUAGGAAGCCACGGCUAACUACGUGCCAGCAGCCGCGGUAAUACGUAGGUGGCAAGCGUUAUCCGGAUUUAUUGGGUUUAAAGGGUGCGCAGGCGGCGCGCCAAGUCAGCGGUCAAAGUUCCGGGCUCAACCCGGUGUCGCCGUUGAAACUGGCGUGCUCGAGUGCGUGCGAGGAAGGCGGAAUGCGUUGUGUAGCGGUGAAAUGCAUAGAUAUGACGCAGAACUCCGAUUGCGAAGGCAGCUUUCCAGCGCGCUACUGACGCUGAGGCACGAAAGCGUGGGGAUCGAACAGGGAUUAGAUACCCUGGUAGU